RNAcentral lists this ribosomal RNA (473 nucleotides) under uncultured bacterium. RNAcentral's name for it is "bacterial SSU rRNA". It matches the Rfam family "Bacterial small subunit ribosomal RNA", at positions 335 to 801 of the family's 1533-position model. The record is from RNAcentral.
ACUCCUACGGGAGGCAGCAGUAGGGGAAUCUUCCACAAUGGGCGCAAGCCUGAUGGAGCAACACCGCGUGAGUGAAGAAGGGUUUCGGCUCGUAAAGCUCUGUUGUUAAAGAAGAACACGUAUGAGAGUAACUGUUCAUACGUUGACGGUAUUUAACCAGAAAGUCACGGCUAACUACGUGCCAGCAGCCGCGGUAAUACGUAGGUGGCAAGCGUUAUCCGGAUUUAUUGGGCGUAAAGAGAGUGCAGGCGGUUUUCUAAGUCUGAUGUGAAAGCCUUCGGCUUAACCGGAGAAGUGCAUCGGAAACUGGAUAACUUGAGUGCAGAAGAGGGUAGUGGAAUUCCAUGUGUAGCGGUGGAAUGCGUAGAUAUAUGGAAGACACCAGUGGCGAAGGCGGCUACCUGGUCUGCAACUGACGCUGAGACUCGAAAGCAUGGGUAGCGAACAGGAUUAGAUACCCUGGUAGGAUAGCG